RNAcentral lists this ribosomal RNA (256 nucleotides) under uncultured bacterium. RNAcentral describes it as "partial 16S ribosomal RNA". It matches the Rfam family "Bacterial small subunit ribosomal RNA", at positions 521 to 776 of the family's 1533-position model. The record is from RNAcentral.
UAAUACGUAGGUGGCAAGCGUUAUCCGGAAUUACUGGGCGUAAAGCGCACGCAGGCGGUCUUGUAAGUUUGACGUGAAAGCUCCCGGCUUAACUGGGAGAGGUCGUUGAAUACUGCGAGACUUGAGUUUAGGAGAGGGGUGUAGAAUUCCCGGUGUAGUGGUGGAAUGCGUAGAUAUCGGGGGGAAUACCAGUGGCGAAAGCGGCACCCUAGCCUUUGACUGACGCUCAUGUGCGAAAGCGUGGGGAGCGAACGGG